AACCUUUACACUGCACGACAGUGCGAUAGGGGGACUCCGAGUGCGAGGGCAUACAGUCCUCGCUUUUCUGUACCGUAGGGUGGUACAGGAACAAGUGCUGGGCAAGACCGGUGCCAGCCGCCGCGGUAAUACCGGCAGCACGAGUGAUGGCCGAUAUUAUUGGGCCUAAAGCGUCCGUAGCUGGCCGGCCAAGUCCGUUGGGAAAUCCACCCGCUUAACGGGUGGGCGUCCAGCGGAAACUGUCCGGCUUGGAGCCGGAGGACCUGAGGGGUACGUCCGGGGUAGGAGUGAAAUCCUGUAAUCCUGGACGGACCGCCGGUGGCGAAAGCGCCUCAGGAAGACGGACUCGACAGUGAGGGACGAAAGCUAGGGUCUCGAACCGGAUUAGAUACCCGGGUAGUCCUAGCUGUAAACAAUGUCCGCUAGGUGUGGCGCAGGCUACGAGCCUGCGCUGUGCCGUAGGGAAGCCGUGAAGCGGACCGCCUGGGAAGUACGUCCGCAAGGAUGAAACUUAA
This 515-nucleotide ribosomal RNA is filed under the name uncultured archaeon. RNAcentral describes it as "bacterial SSU rRNA". It matches the Rfam family "Archaeal small subunit ribosomal RNA", at positions 345 to 859 of the family's 1478-position model. The record is from RNAcentral.